AGGCCUUCGAUGUGUCUCUCAUCCCACAUGCUGGUUCGUGACUGCAUAAUGGACAUGCAUGCAUGCAUGCUUGCAUGAUGAGAGAGAGCAAUAUAAUUUAACUGGAUAAAUAAAUGCAAAUGCAGCUGUAUCAGAGAACACCAAACUACCAAACAAGAUCAAGUUCCUCAAACGAAGUAAUCAUCAGUCUUCGUCAAACAAAGACAGCCCAACCGACCUGCUAAAUGUGGUAGACGCUCUUUAUUUUUUUCCGAGAGAGAAAGAAACUUGCCAUCUGAACUAUAUGCCUUCUCACCUAAAGAGCCUUUACGGAGGGAGGGAGUGAGUGCUGGACCAGAGGUUUAAUAGCAUGAUAAUUUAUGAAGGACUACAGAAUUUUUAAUUCCCAAAAAAAACAAAAUAAAACUCUGAAGAAAAUAAAAUAUUCAUAAAUCCAAUAAAUAAAACCGACCAUUUCCAGUAAUGCACUCAAAUUUUCAUGUUCUGUUCACUCAAACCCAAACUCAUCUGAAAAGACUAAAAAAAAUGUCACAAGUUUUCAACCAUACAAACAAAUUUUGGGAAUGACUAAUCAUGAGAUUUCAUUUUCUCUACACCGUUGUAAAGAAUAAAUUGAAAACAAGCUUUCCACGAGAGCGAUGACCAAAUUGCAAGCAGGUCCACAGAAUUCAUCAGAACACCAUUAAAAACAGAGCUACCCUCCUAAAUGGGAAAUUGUCAUACGAUAGAUAAGAAAGUCAUCUUUAAGCCAAGUGAAGUAGGGAUCUCGACUUGCAUAACAAUAGGACUUGAUUUCUACAACAUUCAAUCAAUGAAGAUUCCUAAUUUAACUAACACUACAUCAAAAAAAAUUAUAUGUAGGAAAAAUUAUUACGAUUCACUUUACAUAUCCUAAAAUAAAAAAUAAAUAAUCUGUCAUUAAAUUAUACAAAUUUCCAGCACUACUUUGAUCAAACAGAUCAGACAUGAUUUCAGGAUCAUGAAAAAUGAUUUUAGGUCUCAAAUUUUUCCGAUGAAUCUAGACCAGUUAAAAACAAAACAAUAAUAUUCCUGUAAAAAAACUAUACCUUUCAUUAAAAAUAAAAUUAAGAGAAAAAAAAAUAAACCUUUCUAUUUUUUUUAUCAUUGUCUUAAUUCCUUUUUAAUCAUUCCAUUAGAACAACCUAUGAUAAUUUGGGGAUAUAAAAUAAUCCCAAAAUUCAAUCUCAAUAAUUAAGCUCCACCACAAUGACCUAUGCUAAUUUGGGACCAAAACUAAAUAAUUACAGUACAAUAAUGCUUGUUUGAUACUUAGCAAGCAAGUAAAGCCAAACAUGAGCAUAUUACCUUUGUAGGUGGAGUAAUUAUGCACUAAGCAUCACCUAACUCAGCUCACGCCAAACAAAAGGCGUAUUUUGAGUUACUUGUCAUUCAAAAAUAGGAUAACUAAACCAAAAACAAACUUGUAUGAUGCUCCUUGAUAUUCCUACAUCUACUGAUUUGAGGUGAAGAGUCAGUACAGAACAAAGGAGAGUACUUGAUAUGUUUUUGUCCAGUAGGUCGCCUGCCACUUCUCAGUCAAUUAUCUGGCACACCAAGAUAGUGAAUGACUUUUAGAAAUGUUUAGGCUUAAUAAACCUCAAAAGAUAGUGAAUGAAUGAUUAAGGCUUUCAAUGAAUUUGAAGUUCAGCCCUUAAAUCGACAUUGUUAACAUCUUACCUAAUUUAACCAGCAGAAUUCAUUUCUGCAAGUUAUCAUAAUAACACACACCUGUAGGAAAAGCAAGAUGCCAAGAGAAAUCUUAGUCUGAUUGAGUGAACAACUGAUCAGAAUCUGACUUGAAAACAGAAUUGAGGAUAAAUCUGAGAUUAACAAUGGCCUUAUUUUGAAAAAAUUAAAGCAGAUUUUAAUCUAAAAAAAAAACAAAAGGAACAAACAAAUUGUAAGAAGUAUAUAUUGGAAUUUCUAAUUAAACCAUUAUACUUCAGCUAGCACAUCCACAAAACAAACCAUUUUUAUCUUCCACAUCCCACAGCAAAGAUGGAUGAUGCAAAUAACAGGACUUGGUUUUUCUAAUAAUUCCAGGAAAUGCUUAUCAUAUUAAUUAGUUCUUUUAGAAAGUGAAAUUAACAGGUCAAAUCAACAUUUUAGUCCUAAAAAUGAUUAUGAUCACACGUCACCAUACCAUGCCAAAAGAAACCCAAACCCAAACCCAAAGUCCAGCAAAUCAGUAGAAAGCAGUAAAAAAUUGCAAGAUCUUGUCAACCAAUGUCAUAAAAGAUUCUGCCCUUCCACACAAAUAGCAUCCAUUGCAGCCACCAUAGUGUGGUAAAUAUAUUCUCUUUAGGUGGUUGUAUCAAAGUGUUAGGAUCAAGAACAACGCUAAAAAAAGGGGGUGAAUUAGUGUAGUGAAAAAAUUAAAUCGAUUUGAAAAUCUUCAUACGAUAAAAACUAAUUUCGGCAAAAACAAUUUGUUUUGACUCGAGUAAGUUUGCAAAUGAGUAGAGAAGAGGAGAUUGGACAGUUUACAAUGAAGUAAAGUAGUAAAGAGAAUAAGCAGUAAAGAAAGAAUACAUUGGAAUUUAUAGUGGUUCGAUCGUCGUAACCUACAUCCACUUCUGAUUCCUCCUCCGUCGAGAUCAUUGACGUCUACUAAUGAUCUUCCUUCAAUAGGCGAAGACCAACCACCUCUUUACAGCUCUUUCUCCUUUUCACGGGUUUAGAAGAUAACCCUUACAAGCCUCACACAUCUUCUUGGAUUAUUACAAAGCUAAAGAGAGGGAGAAAGAGGAUUCUUCUCAUUUUUACAACACUUUUAACACCCGAACACUUAUAGUUUUUGUCACACUUUGAUUGCACUUUUUUUUUCCUUUCAUGCAGAAAAUGUGGGGUAUUUAUAGGCCCCAAUGACUUCAAAAUUAGAGUUAAAAAAUGUCUCAACCUGGAUUUUCGGGAUACUAGCGGUACCACCGCCAGUACUGGAUUGUACCAUCGCACCGCCCCAGUCUGACGGUACAACCUGGUUGGGCUUUGAAUUCAACUCAAACCAGUCCAAUUACGGGCCUAGUUAGCCCCUAACUGAGUUAGUAAGAUUACCUCCCAAACCUAACCCUAAUUAUAUACUAAUUAUGAUUCUUAAGACAUACACUAAGCAAAACAAGUCCGGUUAUUUUAGGUUUCUUUCGGCGAGCUUCCGACGAACUUCCAUCUCUCGGCAAUGUUCCCGCAACUCCCGAUAAGCUCCUGGACUUCACAACGAUCGUCUUUGGUAAACUUCUAGACUUCUCGAUCAAUUCCGACAUAAUUUCCGACGAACUCUCAACGAAAUCUCGAUCUUGAUUCUGGCACUUUGUUUUGCUUUAUGUCUUGAUUGCUAUCGUAGUUAAUCCUAUACACUUUUCUCAACAUAUCAAUUUGAUCAAAUAAUUUACCAAUUAAUUUUAUCAUCAAAAUUCAAGAUUCAAUACACACAUAACAUCCAGGCGUUUAAGAUGAUGUCCCUAACGAGUUUCAGACACCAAAGAUAAGCAAGACAGCAGAUGGCCAGAUUCAUGAUUCCCUGCCUGUCGUUUCAUAGCAUCUCUCGUGAUGCUUGGCAGAUCCUAUUUCAAGAAACUAGUCAGAAAAUAUCCUACUUUCCAACUCAUGUAGAAAGCUUUAGUUUGUAGUCUGAGCCAUAAAAUGUAAAAACAUUCAACCUGCCAUUCUGCUCAAUCUGAGAAGUGAAAUGCAUCCAUUUAGAAAGGAAGCUCAAGAUGAGAACUAAUUAUAACUGAAAACUGUAUUUUUUGAGCCAAACCAUCCAGUCCAUGGGAAGAAACACGAUAGAAUUAAUAUUUAAAAAAAAAAAGACAACUCAAGACAAUUAUGUCUGACUCAAUUUUUUAAUAAUUUUCGUUUCAAUGUUGACUGACAUGGAGAUGGUCAACUCAGAUAAAUCAAUCACAACUAAUCAAAAGAGAAAUGAGCCGAUGAACGAUAAGCAUGAUCACUUCAAGCAUGCAUUAGAGGUCCAGAAAGUAGUUCACCAUCACAAGCCUGAUUGAAUGCAGUUCUUUAUUUCAAGCCUGAUUAAGCAUCUUCUGAUGUCAAAAGACCAAGUAUAAUUUUUUCACCUGGUAGAAAUUUGAGCUUAUUGCUCCUGUUAUGGAUUUUAAACUUCCACUUCUCCCAUUAUACUUGUACGCAAUUCACUUUUGCAAAUUGAACGUGCAUAAACUUGAAGCUAAUUGUGACCUGCAGUAGACACAAAUGGUUAGAUAAAAAAAACCAAAGAAUAUCUAAUGAAAAUAUUUUAUAUAAUAAUUACAUGCACCUUCCAAGUAGUUGGUUUUUGUUGUCAUGGGAAGAAACAUGGCAGCUAAAUCUAAUCAUCUACCGACAAUAACCAAUGGAGCUGUGACAAUCUGGGCCUCAAGCGCCAUAGAUCCAUAAUUAAGAAAUAUGAUGAAAUCAGGUUUCCUUCGGUAACAUUUCAUCCACCAAAGAGUUCAGCCUUUGCGACUUCACCAAGGCAACAAUAGUCACAGACUAA
This 4513-nucleotide long non-coding RNA is filed under the name Musa acuminata (dwarf banana). RNAcentral's name for it is "long non-coding RNA (MACU_LNC007742)". Lineage: Eukaryota; Viridiplantae; Streptophyta; Magnoliopsida; Zingiberales; Musaceae. The record is from RNAcentral.